Molecule: ribosomal RNA, 497 nt
Filed under: uncultured bacterium
Lineage: Bacteria
Description: partial 16S ribosomal RNA
Rfam family: Bacterial small subunit ribosomal RNA
Source: RNAcentral
GACGAACGCUGGCGGCGUGCCUAAUACAUGCAAGUAGAACGCUGAAGAGAGGAGCUUGCUCUUCUUGGAUGAGUUGCGAACGGGUGAGUAACGCGUAGGUAACCUGCCUUGUAGCGGGGGAUAACUAUUGGAAACGAUAGCUAAUACCGCAUAACAAUGGAUGACACAUGUCAUUUAUUUGAAAGGGGCAAUUGCUCCACUACAAGAUGGACCCGCGUUGUAUUAGCUAGUAGGUGAGGUAAUGGCUCACCUAGGCGACGAUACAUAGCCGACCUGAGAGGGUGAUCGGCCACACUGGGACUGAGACACGGCCCAGACUCCUACGGGAGGCAGCAGUAGGGAAUCUUCGGCAAUGGGGGCAACCCUGACCGAGCAACGCCGCGUGAGUGAAGAAGGUUUUCGGAUCGUAAAGCUCUGUUGUAAGUCAAGAACGGGUGUGAGAGUGGAAAGUUCACACUGUGACGGUAGCUUACCAGAAAGAGACGGCUAACUACGUG